GCAUAUUAAUGAGGGGAGGAAAAGAAACUAACAAGGAUUUUCUUAGUAGCGGCGAGCGAAAAGAAAUCAGUUCAGCACUAAGUCACUUUGUCUUUAUGGCAAAUGUGAGAUGCAGUGUAUGGAAUGUCAAAUUUCUAGUAUGAGAAAUUAACGAUUUAAGUCCUUCUUAAAUGAGGCCAUUUACCCAUAGAGGGUGCCAGGCCCGUAUAACGUUAAUGAUUACUAGAUGGCAUUUCCAAAGAGUCGUGUUGCUUGAUAGUGCAGCACUAAGUGGGUGGUAAACUCCAUCUAAAACUAAAUAUAACCAUGAGACCGAUAGUAAACAAGUACCGUGAGGGAAAGUUGAAAAGAACUCUGAAUAGAGAGUUAAAUAGUACGUGAAACUGCUUAGAGGUUAAGCCCGAUGAACCUGAAUAUCCAUUAUAGAAAAUUCAUCAUUAUGAUUUUAAUAUUAAUAAUAUUAUAAUAAUGGUGUGCAUUUUUUCUAUAACGGACAUUGUAAUCUAUUAACAUAAAUAUAUUUAUCAUAAGAUCAAUGAUGCGUAAGUUUAUUCAAAUUAUUUUGCUUGCAAUUUAACAUAGAAUAAAUGCUCUUGAUUUGAUAAAGUGUUGAUAGAUUUAUUGUAUAUAGUGCUUAAAUAUUUAUAUUUUAUAAUAGCAUAUUAAUCAUUGAUUUUUAUGUUUAUUAUAUGCACUUAUAUGAUUAACAAUGCGAAAGAUUCAGGAUACCUUCGGGACCCGUCUUGAAACACGGACCAAGGAGUCUAACAUAUUUGCAAGUUAUUGGGUAUCAAAACCUAAUAGCGAAAUUAACAUAACUUUAAUGGGAUUAGUUUUUAGAUUAUUUAUAGUCUAUUAAUUCAAUCCCGGGGCGUUCUAUAUAGUUAUGUAUAAUAAUAUUUAUAUUAUUUAUACCUCUAACUAGAGCGUACCUUGAGCAUAUAUGCUGUGACCCGAAAGAUGGUGAACUAUACUUGAUCAGGUUGAAGUCAGGGGAAACCCUGAUGGAAGACCGAAACAGUUCUGACGUGCAAAUCGAUUGUCAGAAUUGAGUAUAGGGGCGAAAGACCAAUCGAACCAUCUAGUAGCUGGUUCCCUCCGAAGUUUCCCUCAGGAUAGCUGGUGCAUUUAAAUAUUAUGUAAAAUAAUCUUAUCUGGUAAAGCGAAUGAUUAGAGGCCUUAGGGUCGAAACGACCUUAACCUAUUCUCAAACUUUAAAUGGGUAAGAACCUCACCUUUCUUGGUAUGAAGGUUGUGGUUGUGAUAUAAUGUGCCCAGUGGGCCACUUUUGGUAAGCAGAACUGGCGCUGUGGGAUGAACCAAACGUAAUGUUACGGUGCCCAAAUUAACAACUCAUGCAGAUACCAUGAAAGGCGUUGGUUGCUUAAAACAGCAGGACGGUGGACAUGGAAGUCGUAAUCCGCUAAGGAGUGUGUAACAACUCACCUGCCGAAGCAACUAGCCCUUAAAAUGGAUGGCGCUUAAGUUGUAUACCUAUACAUUACCGCUAAAGUAGAUGGUUUAUGUUCAAUUUCGGUUGGAUUAUAAACUUUGAAACUUUAGUGAGUAGGAGGGUACUAUGGUGUGCUUGGAAGUGUUUGGCGCAAGCCUGCAUGGAGCCGCCAUUGGUACAGAUCUUGGUGGUAGUAGCAAAUAAUCGAAUGAGACCUUGGAGGACUGAAGUGGAGAAGGGUUUCGUGUGAACAGUGGUUGAUCACGAGUUAGUCGGUCCUAAGUUCAAGGCGAAAGCCGAAAAUUUUCAAGUUAUAAUGAAAAAUAAUUAAAUUUAAUUAUUUAGUAAUUAAACACUUGAAUAAUUUUGAACGAAAGGGAAUACGGUUCCAAUUCCGUAACCUGUUGAGUAUCCGUUUGUUAAUAAAUAUGGGCCUUGUGCUCAUCCUGGCAACAGGAACGACCAUAAAGAAGCCGUCGAGAGAUAUCGGAAGAGUUUUCUUUUCUGUUUUAUAGUCGUACUACCAUGGAAGUCUUUCGAAGAGAGAUAUGGUAGAUGGGCUAGAAGAGCAUGACAUUUACUGUUGUGUCGAUAUUUUCUCCUCGGACCUUGAAAAUUUAUGGUGGGGUCACGCAAACUUCUCAACAGGCCGUACCAAUAUCCGCAGCUGGUCUCCAAGGUGAAGAGUCUCUAGUCGAUAGAAUAAUGUAGGUAAGGGGAAGUCGA
Molecule: ribosomal RNA, 2179 nt
Filed under: Sarcophaga crassipalpis
Lineage: Eukaryota; Metazoa; Arthropoda; Insecta; Diptera; Sarcophagidae
Description: eukaryotic LSU rRNA
Rfam family: Eukaryotic large subunit ribosomal RNA
Source: RNAcentral